This 73-nucleotide transfer RNA is filed under the name Cordylochernes scorpioides. RNAcentral describes it as "tRNA-Thr". Lineage: Eukaryota; Metazoa; Arthropoda; Arachnida; Pseudoscorpiones; Chernetidae. The record is from RNAcentral.
GUCCAGGGAUGGGAAUCGAACCCACAGUGUUCCGCUUACCGGGCAUAUACCAUGUCCACUAGGCUACCCUGGU